UACAGAGGUCUCGAUCGUUGUUCGGAUUCAUUGGGCGUAAAGGGUGCGUAGGUGGCGCUGUAAGUCGGGUGUGAAAUCCUGAGGCUUAACCUCGGAACUGCAUUCGAUACUGCGGCGCUUGAGGACUGGAGAGGAGACUGGAAUUCAUGGUGUAGCAGUGAAAUGCGUAGAGAUCAUGAGGAAGACCAGUGGCGAAGGCGAGUCCCUGGACAAAACCUGACACUGAGGCACGAAAGCUAGGGGGGCAAACAGG
This 253-nucleotide ribosomal RNA is filed under the name uncultured bacterium. Its description in RNAcentral is "partial 16S ribosomal RNA". It matches the Rfam family "Bacterial small subunit ribosomal RNA", at positions 524 to 776 of the family's 1533-position model. The record is from RNAcentral.